UACGAAGGGGGCUAGCGUUGCUCGGAAUGACUGGGCGUAAAGGGCGAGUAGGCGGUUUUGACAGUCAGACGUGAAAUUCCUGGGCUCAACCUGGGGGCUGCGUUUGAUACGUUGGGAAUGGAGUGCGGAAGAGGGGCGUGGAAUUCCCAGUGUAGAGGUGAAAUUCGUAGAUAUUGGGAAGAACACCGGUGGCGAAGGCGGCGACCUGGUCCGUGACUGACGCUGAGGCGCGAAAGCGUGGGGAGCAAACAGG
RNAcentral lists this ribosomal RNA (253 nucleotides) under uncultured bacterium. RNAcentral describes it as "partial 16S ribosomal RNA". It matches the Rfam family "Bacterial small subunit ribosomal RNA", at positions 524 to 776 of the family's 1533-position model. The record is from RNAcentral.